Long non-coding RNA from Hyla sarda, 6189 nucleotides. RefSeq lists it as uncharacterized. NCBI's taxonomy places the organism in Eukaryota, Metazoa, Chordata, Amphibia, Anura, Hylidae. The record is from RefSeq and is a predicted model, not a curated record. The transcript is spliced from 2 exons.
UCUGGAGCCAGUUGAUAUAUAUAUAUAUAUAUAUUUUAAAAAAAAGUUUUUUCCUGGAAUACCCCUUUAAUUCCAUAAAUUGAAACCAACAAACAUCCAUAAUUCUUUAGAUGACUAUAUAUAUUGCCUAUUUCUUGUCAAUGCCCUGCUUUCUAUUGAUAAAUUGGAGUUGUAAAAAAUCUCCUCAAUUUAAGAUAAAAAAAUCCUAAUCUUUGGCAAACUUUUGGUUAUCGUCCAUGGGUAAUUAAUAGCGGAUUAUUGAGUAUAGUCAAAAUCUACUAUGCUGGGCAAAUUGUAUCUCAUGCUUAUGGCCACCUUUACUUUGAUGAUAGACAUGGCCUAUUUUAUUAUUGCAUGGGUAGUCUAUAGUUGCAACACAAAAGUUUAGAAGAUUGUAGCCUAAAUUUACCUGAUACCAAAACUGUCUGGUGUUGCCCGUAGCAACCAAUCAUAUCAGCAUUCAUAUCUUAAUGAGUUUUGGUAAAAUAAAAGCUGAGCUGUGAUUGGUUGCUAUGGGAAAACCAGACCGUUUUGGUUUCAGGCAUAGAUAUUUGGGCCCCUCUUAGACUUACUUCCUGAUGACUACAUGCCAUAAUAUGGCAUAUGGAUAACAGUGGUACUAAAGAGACAACCCCUUUAAAAUGAAGGAACUCCUGCUUCCUGGAGUUCACUUCUGCCCUCUUCCCAUAUACCUUCUGAGAUGAGAAAGUGCGGUCAGCAGUCACUUUUAUCUUGUUUUGGUGAAGCUGUGCAGCUACUGGUCCUUGUGCUUGGACGUGGUACUGCCCGCAAUGAUCACGACUGGCAACCCCCUCUCAUGGAUUCUUAUGAACUGCUGACUAAGAUUAUGUACUAGGGCCUAAGUAUACUCGUAGCAACCAUUUCAGACGAUAUGGGGCCCAGAGAUUUAGGGAACACACUCUUAAAAACAACAUGUUAGUGUGCUUUGGUUGGUACUAUGUGGGCACUACGAUGUUUGGUGCUUUUAUCCAUACUUUUAUUAUUGGUACAUAUGCUGCUGUUUCCAUUUUUGUCAUUCAGUGUUGGGUCCCUUCUUCUUUUGCUUUGGGGUCCUAUGAUCUAUAGUUCCACUGCUCAUCAUAUAUGUGUAUCACAUGAUAAGUAGAAAAAAUAGAGUGGUAAACUAUUCUGAUAUUGGCACCUGCAGGUCAACAUCUGCAACUAUUACAGUAUUAAGGGAGUUAUUUUAACUAUUAAACUAAAUAUUAAUAAAAUGCCACUUAUGUAUUCCUGUAAUACAAUAGAUGGUGAAGCUCUGAAAGUGAAGUACACUUGACUUUUAUUUUCAGGGAAUUUUACCAUUCCCUGAAUAUAUACGGUAUUUAAUAUAUUUGAACAACAUUCCAAAAGGCCCCUUGCACAUCACUUAUGGGAGAUCCACUUUUGUAUUGUUUUUUUUAGACGAAAAGCUUAGCAUGAAAUAAAAGGGUAAACAUUUCAUUAUAUGUUCUUAGCAAAUGUUCUCACUCCUUUGUGCUGCGAUCAGACCCUUCUUUCAAUCUAAAAAGAUAUAAGGAAAAACAGAUCAUAAUGUUUAAAAGCACAGGUCGUACAUCCCACAACAUUCGUAGCUUAAAUAAGUGACAGUUGACCUUACAGAAAACAGUUCUGGGAUAUCAAAAUUCAAUUUUAUUUAGUCAUUAAAAUUAAAACAUUGCAUGUUUUUGUGUUAGGCAUGGCGGCCUUUUUAGUUGCCAUAAUACACUGCUCAAAAAAAUAAAGGGAACACUUAGAUAACACAUCCUAGAUCUGAAUGAAUGAACUAAUCGUAUGAAAUACUUUCGUCUUUACAUAGUUGAAUGUGCUGACAACAAAAUCACACAAAAAUGAUCAAUGGAAAUCAAAUUUAUCAACCUAUGGAGGUCUGGAUAUGGAGUCACACUCAAAAUCAAAGAGGAAAAUCACACUACAGGCUGAUCCAACUUUAAUGUAAUGUCCUUAAAACAAGUCAAAAUUAGGCUCAGUAGUGUGUGUGGCCUCCACAUGCCAGUAUGACCUCUCUACAAUGCCUGGGCAUGCUCCUCAUGAGGACAUGGACAGUCUGUGGUGCAACUUGGCAUUGGUGGAUGGAGCGAGACAUGAUAUCCCAGAGUUGCUCAAUCGGAUUCAGGUGUGGAGAACGGGCGGGCCAGUCCAUAGCAUCAAUGCCUUCCUCUUGCAGGAACUGCUGACACACUCCAGCCACAUGAGGUCUAGCAUUGUCUUGCAUUAGGAGGAACCCAGGGACAACCGCACCAGCAUAUGGUCUUACAAGGGGUCUCAACUCGGUAGCUAUUGGCAGUCACGCUACCUCUGGCAAGCACAUGGAGGGCUGUGCGCCCCCCCCCCCCCCAAAGAAAUGCCACCCCAUACCAUUACUGGCCCACCACCAAACCGGUCAUGCUGGAGGAUGUUGCAGGCAGCAGAACGUUCUCCAUGACGUCGCCAGACUCUGUCACGUAUGUCACAUGUGCUUAGUGUGAACCUGCUUUCAUCUGUGAAGAGCACAGGGAGCCAGUGGCGAAUUUGCCAAUCUUGGUGUUCUCUGGCGAAUGCCAAACGUCCUGCACGUUGUUGGGCUGUAAGCACAACCCCCCCCCCACCUGUGGACAUCAGGCCUACCACCCUCAUGGAGUCUGUUUCUGACUGUUUGAAUAGACACAUGCACAUUUGUGGCCUGCUUGAGGUCAUUUUGCAGGGCUCUGGCAGUGCUCCACCUGCUCCUCCUUGCACAAAGGCGGAGGUAGCAGUCCUGCUGCUGGGUUUUUGCCCUCCUACGGUCUCCUCCACAUCUCCUGAUGUACUGCCCUGUCUCCUGGUAGUGCCUCCAUGUUCUGGACACUACGCUGACAGACACAGCAAAACUUCUUGCCACAGCUCGCAUUGGUGUGCCAUCCUGGAUGAGCUGCACUACCUGAGCCACUUGUGUGGGUUGUAGACUCCAUCUCAUGCUACCACUAGAGUGAAAGCACUGCAAACAUUCAAAAGUGACCAAAACAUUAGCCAGGAAGCAUAGGAACGGAGAAGUGGUCUGUGAUCACCACCUGCAGAACCACUCCUUUAUUGGGGGUGUCUUGCUAAUUGCCUAUAAUUUCCACCUGUUGUCUGUUCCAUUUGCACAACAGCAUGUGAAAUUGAUAGUCAAUCAGUGUUGCUUCCUGAGUGGACAGUAUGAUUUCACAGAAGUGUGAUUGACUUGGAGUUGCAUUGUGUUGUGUAAGUGUUCCCUUUAUUUUUUUGAGCAGUGUAUUUCAUCCCAGUUCAUCAUAGAUUUGAUGUAAGCUCUACAGGACACAAAAGUGUAGCUCUAUUUGAAUGUCUAAAUGUAUUGCCUCUGCAUCUUUUAUUAAUUUAAAGCCCCAUGCUGAUUUAAUGGAACGUAACACACACAGUUUCUUUGUUAGCUUAUACUUGCCUCACAACAAACAACUUGUAUACUUGUAUGCUUCUAUACAUCACACUCAAUGACAAAAGGGUUUAUGCUCUAAAAGCGUGCAAAAUGUAAAGACUGCUGAAUAGCUCUACUGAUAUACUCAAGGACUAAACUAGUACAAUGAAACCUAGAAAAAAUAUUUUAUACAGUUUUUUUUUAUUGCCAGUAAAAUAUUUUAUAUUUUUUGGAAGCCAUAUUUUAUUGGCAGAUAAAAAUAAGCAGAUUAUUACUGAAUAAUGGAAGUUAUCAUUUCCCAAUAAAAAUUUUUUUUGGGCGUAUCUGGAUGAAUAUAAUCAUAUGUAACUGCUCAGGUGUCCAUUGCACUACUUUAAUAGGUAUUAAACCCAUUGCAAGGGUUAACUAGAAUAAGAAAGCAAUAAGUUGGAGUUACCCUACACAUUAGCAGAAAAUGCAGCUUACAAUACUGUCUUAUAUUAUGGGCAGUUACUGUAUGUUUGCUCAGUGACUGUAUGAGUGACUAGAUUCGCAGUGACCAUGUGUUCUUCAGAUAUUUUUCUUAGUUGUUUCUUUUCAGUUAAGUGAACUUUUCAUGUACAUUUAGUAUUUACAUAUUGUAGGUUAUCAAUGGUUGCUGCUUGCAUUUUUAUGAUAAGCAGUUUCUCCUAAGGGCUCAUGCACACAGUGAAGCUGUUUACUUAAAAAUUGUACAGCAGCACAUGGAGUCCCUUCUGGCCCCUACUAUGGACCAGUUGGCAAUUUCUGGUGCCUCUUUAAAGGGGUACUCCACUGCCCCAGCCUCCGGAACAUUUUGUUCCGAACGCUGGGUGCGGGCUGCGGGGGUCCCAUAGACUUGCAUUGAGGGGGUGUGGGGUGACAUCACAAGGGGUAUGGCUGUGACAUCACGACCCCCGCAGCCCGCACCCAGCGUUCGGAACGAAAUGUUCCAGAUGCUGGGGCAGUGGAGUACCCCUUUAAUAAUACAUAUUGCGUAUGAUACUAUUUUUCCCCAUAGAUUCCUUCGUUUAACAUUGGCACAGUAUGGGCCCAUAUCAUGGUAUGGGUGCCAUGUUUGGGAUCCAUGCAACACAGAUCUAUAAUACAGCCAUGCGCAUGUUUUUUAUGUAUUUCAUUUUAGUUUAAUUGACUAGAUUUUAGUCUAUAGAAAAGAAAUAAUGUGUUUGUUUUUUAAAUGUUGUAGUCAUAUGAGGGACACACAAUUACUAGUACAAGUACUUAUGACACAGCAGAGUGUAAAAUGAACGGGAGUCAGAUGAAAGAUGAUUGUCAUAUUACAGUCUUCAGGUGGAGGAGACUCCAAUGCCAUAUGUCAUAUUACAGUCUUCUGGAAGGGAUGUAUAACAGGGAGUGACAGAACAGAUACUUACAGAGCCCUAUCUCUGUAUAGUCUGUAAGUGGCCAUAAACCUUCAAUAGCUGUUGGCCAAAUAAACAUUCCCUCCAUACACAUGUACACUCGAAUUGGCUGAGAGUUAGUGUUUUCUAAAUGAGAAGAAAAGGGGUAAGAGUUGGGAAGCCCUCAUACACAUUAGACAGAUGGUCACGCUGCCAUUUUCGAAUGUGUAUUAGGGCAUUUACUAGUAUGCUUUAUCUUGGCCUAGAGCAGUACAAGCGAGUUGCCAUUAAAGGUGCCUGUGCACCUUCAAUAACUGUCAGCUAUAUCUCCUGGGUCCCCAUACAUAUGCACUUUUGGCCUAGAUUAGUAUGCAUAUGUUUUCAAGUGGGAAGGAGAUCGCUGCCAGACACAUCUGUCACGAGUGCUGUCACGAGAGAGUUGGGAGGCCAUGGUCUGAUUCACCCGACUUUUCUCUAGUGCAUAUUGGGGCCUUUUCUUGAUGAUGUUCUAAAGAUAAUGACAUAACUCUGAUCACCCUGUUUAUACAGCAAAGCUGGCAAGCAAUCUAUAGAAAACAUGAAAGCCUUGUGUGUCUGCUCUAGGGCAGUGUGCAACCUAGAAUAUUAUAAGAUUUUCUUUAUGUGGAUAGACACCUGAACAAUGAAAAUAGGACCAAACAUAAAAUAAUAUGCUAAAAAUGUUUAUAAUAAAAACAUUAUUCAAAAUAAUAUAUUGUUUUCUUCUAGACACCCUGUUUGAGAUCAGUAUUUUUUUAAUCCAACCUGUAUGUCAAGCUCCUAAAAAUACAGAAGGUCUAUCUUUUUGUAUCUUAUUUGUGGCAUAAAAUCAUAGCUUUCUUUAUUAUAAAUUAAGUUUAAGGGUUAAACUUUUGUAAUGUAUUUGUAUUUUUUUUUUUUUUUUGCAUGUCUCUGCCAUUUGUAACUGAACAGAAUUUACAUAAUAUGUAAGAACUAAUUUAACUUCAGAAGACUUUAUUGAGAGUACAACACUGCGAGAGGAUGAAAACCACCAGGCAAAUAUUAACCAAUGAGCUUUAUUUGUGUCAUAUAUCCCUCUAUAAAUUAUGGAAAGAAAACCUUUUCCAAAAAAAACAAAUGUAUGGACGAAACAUGAACCAGAAAUAUGGCCAUGUAAGUGCACCCUUGGGGCAAGAAAGCAGAUAUAUAGUUUCGUUCUAUGUUACAGUGAAAAUCUAAGUGUAGUAUAAGAAAACGUGUCCAUGUUCUAUGUUCCACUGAGCUUCAUAAUUUUCAUGUGCAACUUAAAAGUGCCAUAAUGACAUGACUAUCCUUUUAAAUGUAUAUUCAUUCUAUGCAGAAAUGACAAUAUUUUAAUUUGUUGACAUAUGUUAUUUAUUUCAUGAUUAAAAUGAACAUUGUAAUGUAUUGUGAUAAAAUAAAUUUUAUGGAAAUGUGGCAUUA